This 491-nucleotide ribosomal RNA is filed under the name uncultured bacterium. RNAcentral's name for it is "bacterial SSU rRNA". It matches the Rfam family "Bacterial small subunit ribosomal RNA", at positions 28 to 513 of the family's 1533-position model. The record is from RNAcentral.
GAUGAACGCUAGCUACAGGCUUAACACAUGCAAGUCGAGGGGCAGCAUUGGGUAGCAAUACUGAGAUGGCGACCGGCGCACGGGUGCGUAACGCGUAUCCAACCUUCCCGUUACUCUCGGAUAGCCUUCCGAAAGGGAGAUUAAUACCUGAUGGUGUUCAAAUUCCGCAUGUUAUUUGAACUAAAGAUUUAUCGGUAACGGAUGGGGAUGCGUGACAUUAGAUAGUAGGCGGGUAACGGCCCACCUAGUCUACGAUGUCUAGGGGUUCUGAGAGGAAGGUCCCCCACACUGGAACUGAGACACGGUCCAGACUCCUACGGGAGGCAGCAGUGAGGAAUAUUGGUCAAUGGGCGAGAGCCUGAACCAGCCAAGUCGCGUGAAGGAUGACUGAUCUAUGGUUUGUAAACUUCUUUUAUAAGGGAAUAAAGUGCAGCACGUGUGCUGUUUUGUAUGUACCUUAUGAAUAAGCAUCGGCUAACUCCGUGCCAGCA